This 460-nucleotide ribosomal RNA is filed under the name uncultured bacterium. Its description in RNAcentral is "partial 16S ribosomal RNA". It matches the Rfam family "Bacterial small subunit ribosomal RNA", at positions 338 to 795 of the family's 1533-position model. The record is from RNAcentral.
CCUACGGGAGGCAGCAGUGAGGAAUAUUGGUCAAUGGACGAGAGUCUGAACCAGCCAAGUAGCGUGAAGGAUGACUGACCUAUGGGUUGUAAACUUCUUUUAUAUGGGAAUAAAAUGUUCCACGUGUGGGAUUUUGUAUGUACCAUAUGAAUAAGGAUCGGCUAACUCCGUGCCAGCAGCCGCGGUAAUACGGAGGAUCCGAGCGUUAUCCGGAUUUAUUGGGUUUCAAGGGAGCGUAGGUGGAUUGUUAAGUCAGUUGUGAAAGUUUGCGGCUCAACCGUAAAAGUGCAGUUGAAACUGGCAGUCUUGAGUACAGUAGAGGUGGGCGGAAUUCGUGGUGUAGCGGUGAAAUGCUUAGAGAUCACGAAGAACUCCGAUUGCGAAGGCAGUUCACUGGACUGCAACUGACACUGAGGCUCGAAAGUGUGGGUAUCAAACAGGAUUAGAUACCCUUGUAGUC